Molecule: ribosomal RNA, 434 nt
Filed under: Bacillus subtilis
Lineage: Bacteria; Bacillati; Bacillota; Bacilli; Caryophanales; Bacillaceae
Description: bacterial SSU rRNA
Rfam family: Bacterial small subunit ribosomal RNA
Source: RNAcentral
AAAAGAGGCGCGCUCAAUGCAGUCGAGCGGACAGAUGGGAGCUUGCUCCCUGAUGUUAGCGGCGGACGGGUGAGUAACACGUGGGUAACCUGCCUGUAAGACUGGGAUAACUCCGGGAAACCGGGGCUAAUACCGGAUGGUUGUUUGAACCGCAUGGUUCAAACAUAAAAGGUGGCUUCGGCUACCACUUGNAGAUGGACCCGCGGCGCAUUAGCUAGUUGGUGAGGUAANGGCUCACCAAGGCAACGAUGCGUAGCCGACCUGAGAGGGUGAUCGGCCACACUGGGACUGAGACACGGCCCAGACUCCUACGGGAGGCAGCAGUAGGGAAUCUUCCGCAAUGGACGAAAGUCUGACGGAGCAACGCCGCGUGAGUGAUGAAGGUUUUCGGAUCGUAAAGCUCUGUUGUUAGGGAAAAACAAGGAACCGGAAAA